Molecule: non-coding RNA, 445 nt
Organism: Peromyscus leucopus (white-footed mouse)
Lineage: Eukaryota; Metazoa; Chordata; Mammalia; Rodentia; Cricetidae
Source: the annotation of a RefSeq genome assembly
AAGCAUCAAGAUCAUUUUCUAGAUGACAUUAAAGAUGAACUCUUCUCCAGGCCUCAUGACUGUGAUACUCCUCAUACUCGGAAGGACCCAUGGAGACUCUGUGACUCAAACAGGAGGCCAAGUGACCAUCUCAGAAGGCGGGUUCCUGACAAUAAAUUGCACGUAUUCAAUCACAACCAUAGCAUCCCCUGCUCUUUUCUGGUAUGUUCGAUAUCCUGGAGAAACACUACAGCUCCUCCUGAAAGCCAUUACGGCUGGCGAAAAGGGAAGCAGUCGAGGGUUUGAAGCUACACACGAUAAAGGAUCCACCUCCUUCCACUUGCAGAAAGCCUCGGUCCAAGAGUCAGACUCGGCUGUGUACUACUGUGCUCUGGGUGACACAGUGGUGGAAACUGCAGGGGGAGCUGAACACAAACUGAGAGGCAACAGGUGGUCUAACUGCUGA